RNAcentral lists this long non-coding RNA (210 nucleotides) under Solanum tuberosum (potato). RNAcentral describes it as "long non-coding RNA (STUB_LNC003497)". The record is from RNAcentral. Lineage: Eukaryota; Viridiplantae; Streptophyta; Magnoliopsida; Solanales; Solanaceae.
GGCAUUCAAAGAGAGACAGCUGCUUGCCAUUAUUUUGGUUAAAAAAUGAUUUAGAAAAGUCUGUGCGUUGAAAAAAGCACGGGUUGAAAAGGUAGCCUUGAUGGGUUAAAAUGGGUAGCCCUGAUGGGUUAAAAAGGUAGCCCUUACGGGUUAAAAAUGUAUGAUAGUUUUUGGAAGAUUUCACAGAUCCCUUAAGAUCAAUGAAGCUCU